ACGAAGGGGGCUAGCGUUGCUCGGAAUUACUGGGCGUAAAGGGAGCGUAGGCGGACAUUUAAGUCAGGGGUGAAAUCCCGGGGCUCAACCUCGGAAUUGCCUUUGAUACUGGGUGUCUUGAGUAUGAGAGAGGUGUGUGGAACUCCGAGUGUAGAGGUGAAAUGCGUAUAUAUGCGGAAGAGCGCCGAUGGCGAAGGCGACACACUGGAUCAUUACCGACUCUGAGGCUCGAAAGCGUGGGCAGCAUACAU
Molecule: ribosomal RNA, 251 nt
Filed under: uncultured prokaryote
Description: partial 16S rRNA
Rfam family: Bacterial small subunit ribosomal RNA
Source: RNAcentral